Molecule: long non-coding RNA, 640 nt
Filed under: Mus spicilegus (steppe mouse)
Lineage: Eukaryota; Metazoa; Chordata; Mammalia; Rodentia; Muridae
Description: lncRNA (ENSMSIG00000031246.1)
Source: RNAcentral
AACCAGUCUGCAGCCUGCCUGCUAAAGGAGCCCUUGAUCACUUCUUCCUUGAAAAUCAGGACUUCCUCCAAAAGGAAUAAACUACCCUCCAAGAGAGUGAGGUAACCAGGUAUUUACAUUUAGACAAGAUAGAGUCCCUUCAAGCCACUGAGAAGAAUGCACAGCUGUCAAGAGUAAAAUAAAGGCUUUCAGAAAUCUUUCUCAAGAGCCAAGGAUGCCAUUUGAAGAAGAAAGUAGUGAGCAAUUUCCAGUAACAUCAUAGGAAUUUCAAAAAUAAAUUCUGUUUGAAAGAUACAACCUGACCAUGCCCAUCAAAAUGAGGUACGUAGGGCACACAUUGCCAGAAUAGUAUUAUGCAUUUUAACAGACUACAUGUUUUUAUGCCUACACAUGUUCUUUUUCCUUGAUAGAAUAAAAGAUGGAGACAAUGAGUUUUCACUAUGAAAGGAAUUCUUUAUAUUUUCUACAUAUCCAGGUACUCAAAGGCAAAGCUCCCUGUCCUGAUGUUUGCAGAAUGACAUCCAUCACACAGGGCCUAGCAGGGUGAUGAGUUAACAAGCAAGUAUCCUGUCCUUCAGUCAGACAAGAUGCCUACAAGUCACAGCUGUGCUGGCUGCUGGUGCCACAUCCCUGACCUCAG